This is a non-coding RNA of Gossypium arboreum, 143 nucleotides long. NCBI's taxonomy places the organism in Eukaryota, Viridiplantae, Streptophyta, Magnoliopsida, Malvales, Malvaceae. The record is from Rfam.
UGUUGAAAAUUUCAUUUAUUUUUUUCUGUUAAAAAUUGUUGUGGUUGAUAGAAUAACUAUAUAGUUACACAUGGUGUACCAUGUGUACCUCAUGUUGACAUAUAGAGACUAAUUUUUAACAAUAGAAAAUAAUAUUUUUACCA